Molecule: transfer RNA, 57 nt
Filed under: Fidelibacterota bacterium
Lineage: Bacteria; Pseudomonadati; Fidelibacterota
Description: tRNA-Arg
Rfam family: tRNA
About the family: Transfer RNA (tRNA) molecules are approximately 80 nucleotides in length. Their secondary structure includes four short double-helical elements and three loops (D, anti-codon, and T loops). Further hydrogen bonds mediate the characteristic L-shaped molecular structure. tRNAs have two regions of fundamental functional importance: the anti-codon, which is responsible for specific mRNA codon recognition, and the 3' end, to which the tRNAs corresponding amino acid is attached (by aminoacyl-tRNA synthetases). tRNAs cope with the degeneracy of the genetic code in two manners: having more than one tRNA (with a specific anti-codon) for a particular amino acid; and 'wobble' base-pairing, i.e. permitting non-standard base-pairing at the 3rd anti-codon position.
Source: RNAcentral
AGCUUAAAAGGCAACGGAUUUCUAAGCCGUGGGUCACAGGUUCGAAUCCUGUCCGGA